RNAcentral lists this ribosomal RNA (558 nucleotides) under Dromia erythropus. RNAcentral describes it as "partial 16S ribosomal RNA". It matches the Rfam family "Bacterial large subunit ribosomal RNA", at positions 1808 to 2638 of the family's 2925-position model. The record is from RNAcentral. Lineage: Eukaryota; Metazoa; Arthropoda; Malacostraca; Decapoda; Dromiidae.
AAAAAACAUGUCUGUUUGUAAAUAUAAAGAGUCUAGCCUGCCCACUGAGUAAUUGAAGGGCCGCGGUAUAUUGACCGUGCAAAGGUAGCAUAAUCACUAGUCUUUUAAUUGGAGGCUUGAAUGAAUGGUUGAACAAAGAAAUAACUGUCUUUUUUAUAAGAAUUGAAUUUAACUUUAAAGUGAGAAGGCUUUAAUUAACUAGGGGGACGAUAAGACCCUAUAAAGCUUUACAUGAUUAUUAUUUUUUGUAGAUUUAUAAGUUUAAUUUAAAAAAAUAAAGUUGUGUUUUGUUGGGGUGACAUGAGUAUAAGUUUUAUAACUGCUUAGAGAUUAAUACAUGAAUUAGUGAAUUUGUGAUCCUUAUUAAAGAUUACCAGAAUAAGUUACUUUAGGGAUAACAGCGUUAUUUUUCUUGAGAGUUCAUAUCGAAAGAAAAAAUUGCGACCUCGAUGUUGAAUUAAAAUUUCUUUAUAAUGCAGCAGUUAUAUAAGAAGGUCUGUUCGACCUUUAAAUUUUUACAUGAUUUGAGUUCAGACCGGCGUAAGCCAGGUUGGUUUC